AAAGAAAAUUACGCAUACAAAAGGAGUUCGUAAGAAUGGUCAAACUGUACGCUGUAAGUUUGUUUUACAAAACCACAAACGAGACACGUUUACUAAAAUUUGAUUACGACCGAAUAAAGUUCUCAGGUUUCCACUAUGAUUCGAUACUAGAAUAUAUCAGUCUGCCAAGCAAAAUACUAAUCGAGCGAACACAAACGAAUACAAGUCAACCAGUAAAGCAGGACGAGUUCAUAUGUCACGUGUAUGUGAGAACGAACGGCUUAGGUGCUGGUUUGGUAUCCGAUCACGACUACCCGGUUCAAGUGGCACACGUUAUACUGUCAAACGUAAUCGAUACCUUAAGUACGAAAGUCAGUAAACAGCAGUGGUUUGCUAGCAGUGAUUUUACAGCCGAUUUUACACUUGCGCCUCUAAUGACGAAGUACGCAGACUCACGAGCAAUCGAUGCUGUUAUUCUGAUGCUAGAAAAUCAGGAUGAGACGAAAAUUAAUGUACGUAUCGCAAUGGAAGAUAGCGAAAAAUUCGAUGCUGAAGCACUAUUAAGCGGGAAGUUUUCCGAUACAGUGGAUUGUGGUAAUAAAGAACUCUCGAUAAGCGCUAAACCUUUCAGAGCCAAUACUCCACUUGCGUGCUGCAGCGUUUGCUAGGUGCACUCAUUAUAAUUUCAACGUAGAAGCCAGAUAUGUAUAUUAUUGGUUAAUUUGCAACUCUAGAGCGAGUCACACUUCAGCUGUGGUACCAUGAGGACGUGUUCUUAGUUCUGUUAGGAACUGUUAUCUAUUUGCAAUAAUACUAAAAGUCUAGCUUAUUUUCCGUCGGUCUAGCUCCGCCAUUGUUGUUGUGCUAGUCACAGAGGCCCGGGGUGGCGAAACUCCACUCAGGACCCUAACUUACGACCCGGCAAUUAACAGACCGGCACCAACGGCUUAGACCAGUUGAGUUGAUUGUGAGUGGAUCACGCCACCCUACAACCAUCGGCACCUAUUUCGGCGUUGGGAUUCGAACUCAGGCCACCAGCGUGGUUUGCGGAGAUUUUACCAGCUACGCUAGACCCCCGUCAUACUCUAAAAUAUAUAUUUUCAGGAGUAUGCUGUUUUGAACUAAAAUGGUUAUCAAAAUGUCAAGAUUACAAAUGCACUUACUACUAGCUGAUACCCGGCCCGCGUUGAUGCGCCAUUAAGUUUACGAUGACAACCGCAUACCUCUUAAAUGUACAUCAUUUCAAACAAAUGAUAGCAUUACCAUGCUAUA
This is a long non-coding RNA of Wyeomyia smithii (pitcher-plant mosquito), 1251 nucleotides long. RefSeq lists it as uncharacterized. Lineage: Eukaryota; Metazoa; Arthropoda; Insecta; Diptera; Culicidae. The record is from RefSeq and is a predicted model, not a curated record. The transcript has 4 exons.